AAAUGGGGGUAAGCACUACACCCUUUGUGACAUACCUAUAACUGUUGCUUCGGCGGGUAGGGUCUCCGCGACCCUCCCGGCCUCCCGCCUCCGGGCGGGUCGGCGCCCGCCGGAGGAUAACCAAACUCUGAUUUAACGACGUUUCUUCUGAGUGGUACAAGCAAAUAAUCAAAACUUUUAACAACGGAUCUCUUGGUUCUGGCAUCGAUGAAGAACGCAGCGAAAUGCGAUAAGUAAUGUGAAUUGCAGAAUUCAGUGAAUCAUCGAAUCUUUGAACGCACAUUGCGCCCGCCAGCAUUCUGGCGGGCAUGCCUGUUCGAGCGUCAUUUCAACCCUCAAGCUCUGCUUGGUGUUGGGGCCCUACAGCUGAUGUAGGCCCUCAAAGGUAGUGGCGGACCCUCUCGGAGCCUCCUUUGCGUAGUAACUUUACGUCUCGCACUGGGAUCCGGAGGGACUCUUGCCGUAAAACCCCCAUUUUUCCAAAGGUUGACCUCGGAUCAGGUAGGAAUACCCCCUUGAACUUACCCCUAU
Molecule: ribosomal RNA, 531 nt
Filed under: Colletotrichum gloeosporioides
Lineage: Eukaryota; Fungi; Ascomycota; Sordariomycetes; Glomerellales; Glomerellaceae
Description: eukaryotic LSU rRNA
Rfam family: 5.8S ribosomal RNA (bases 173-326)
Source: RNAcentral